Molecule: ribosomal RNA, 254 nt
Filed under: uncultured bacterium
Lineage: Bacteria
Description: partial 16S ribosomal RNA
Rfam family: Bacterial small subunit ribosomal RNA
Source: RNAcentral
GACGUAGGGCGCGAGCGUUGUCCGGAUUUAUUGGGCGUAAAGAGCUCGUAGGCGGCUCGUUGCGUCGGCUGUGAAAACCCGCAGCUCAACUGUGGGCUUGCAGCCGAUACGGGCGGGCUGGAGUUCGGUAGGGGAGACUGGAAUUCCUGGUGUAGCGGUGAAAAUGCGCAGAUAUCAGGAGGAACACCAGUGGCGAAAGCGGCUCUCUGGGACGGUACUGACGCUGAGACGCGAAAGCGUGGGGAGCAAACAGG